Molecule: small nuclear RNA, 99 nt
Filed under: Pristionchus pacificus
Lineage: Eukaryota; Metazoa; Nematoda; Chromadorea; Rhabditida; Neodiplogasteridae
Source: RNAcentral
AUUCAUUCCAAAUGAACAUAUACUAAAAUUGGAACAAUACAGAGAAGAUGGCCCCUGCGCAAGGAUGACACGCAAAUUCGUGAAGCGUUCCAAAUUUUA